UGGGGAAUAUUGCACAAUGGGCGCAAGCCUGAUGCAGCCAUGCCGCGUGUAUGAAGAAGGCCUUCGGGUUGUAAAGUACUUUCAGCGGGGAGGAAGGGAGUAAAGUUAAUACCUUUGCUCAUUGACGUUACCCGCAGAAGAAGCACCGGCUAACUCCGUGCCAGCAGCCGCGGUAAUACGGAGGGUGCAAGCGUUAAUCGGAAUUACUGGGCGUAAAGCGCACGCAGGCGGUUGAUUGAGUCAGAUGUGAAAUCUCCGGGCUUAACCCGGGAAUUGCAUCUGAUACUGGUCAGCUAGAGGCUUGUAGAGGGAGGUAGAAUUCCAUGUGUAGCGGUGAAAUGCGUAGAGAUGUGGAGGAAUACCGGUGGCGAAAGCGGCCCCCUGGACAAAGACUGACGCUCAGGUGCGAAAGCGUGGGGAGCAAACAGG
RNAcentral lists this ribosomal RNA (429 nucleotides) under Chloroflexota bacterium. RNAcentral's name for it is "Chloroflexi bacterium partial 16S ribosomal RNA". It matches the Rfam family "Bacterial small subunit ribosomal RNA", at positions 355 to 776 of the family's 1533-position model. The record is from RNAcentral. Lineage: Bacteria; Bacillati; Chloroflexota.